RNAcentral lists this transfer-messenger RNA (398 nucleotides) under Clostridia bacterium. It matches the Rfam family "transfer-messenger RNA". Rfam says of the family: Bacterial tmRNA, also known as 10Sa RNA or SsrA, is named for its dual tRNA and mRNA-like properties. Its role is to liberate the mRNA from a stalled ribosome. The record is from RNAcentral. Lineage: Bacteria; Bacillati; Bacillota; Clostridia.
GGGGACGAUUUUGGUUUCGACGGAGAUUUAAACCGAAUAUGUAAAGCAUGUGGUUUUGCCCAUAACCUAAAAAUGAGCAUUGCGAAAUAAACGCAGAAAAUAAUGACAAUGUUGUUUCUUUCAAUAAUGUUGCUUAUGCAGCCUAAUUUUAAGAAAACAGCGACUUGAUUGGAAUUUCCAAUCUGCUCAACUUUCGACUUGCCAUUGAAAGAACUGAGUAUCAUCUUAGGCAAAAAUUUUGUGUUGAGUUGCCUUUGUAAACGCAAAAAAUUUUAAAGGAUUGUUUUUAAAACUUGUUUAUGAGUGAUUUAAAAAUGAAAUUUAUGCAUAAACUAAACAUGUAGAAAAGUAUUCGGUUUUGUUUUCGGACGAGGGUUCAAUUCCCUCCGUCUCCACCA